RNAcentral lists this ribosomal RNA (28 nucleotides) under Platanus rzedowskii. The record is from RNAcentral. Lineage: Eukaryota; Viridiplantae; Streptophyta; Magnoliopsida; Proteales; Platanaceae.
UUCCUGGGAAGUCCUCGUGUUGCACCCC